AAAUGAUGAGACACCAGCUGGCACCAGUCAGAGGCCGGAUGGAUUUAUUCAUUCGCACUGCUGAUAAGCUUUCCGUCCGGAAUAAUACGCUCCGUGACCUGAA
This 103-nucleotide small nucleolar RNA is filed under the name Penicillium steckii. Its description in RNAcentral is "A. fumigatus snoRNA Afu_190". It matches the Rfam family "A. fumigatus snoRNA Afu_190". The record is from Rfam by way of RNAcentral. Lineage: Eukaryota; Fungi; Ascomycota; Eurotiomycetes; Eurotiales; Aspergillaceae.